Molecule: ribosomal RNA, 508 nt
Filed under: uncultured eukaryote
Lineage: Eukaryota
Description: eukaryotic LSU rRNA
Rfam family: Eukaryotic large subunit ribosomal RNA
Source: RNAcentral
CCCGGGUAAACGGCGGGAGUAAUUAUGACUCUCUUAAGGUAGCCAAAUGCCUCGUCAUGUAAUUUAUGACGCGCAUGAAUGGAUCAAUGAGAUUCCUACUGUCCCUACUUACUAUCUAGCGAACCCACAGCCAAGGGAACGGGCUUGGCACAAUCAGCGGGGAAAGAAGACCCUGUUGAGCUUGACUCUAGUCUGACUUUGUGACAUGACAGUUGGGAUAUAGACGUAGGUGGGAGACUUCAACCAUGUAACACCACUACUCAAUUAGUCAUGGUACUUAUUUCGUCAUGUAGAAAGUCUCUGACUCUUCUAGAUAUAAGGCUUUUGCUGAUCUAGGCGGAUGACAGAGUUAGAUGGGGAGUUUGGCUGGGGCGGCACUUCUGUUAAAUGAUAACGCAGGUGUCCUACGGUGAGCUCAAAGAGAACAGAAAUCUCUUGUAGACCAGAAGGGGGAAAAGCUCACUUGAUUUGAAUUUUCAGUAAAAAUGCAAACUGUGAAAGCAUGGCC